This 440-nucleotide ribosomal RNA is filed under the name uncultured bacterium. RNAcentral's name for it is "partial 16S ribosomal RNA". It matches the Rfam family "Bacterial small subunit ribosomal RNA", at positions 338 to 795 of the family's 1533-position model. The record is from RNAcentral.
CCUACGGGAGGCAGCAGUAGGGAAUAUUGCUCAAUGGGGGAAACCCUGAAGCAGCAACGCCGCGUGGAGGAUGAAGGUUUUCGGAUUGUAAACUCCUUUUGUUAGAGAAGAUAAUGACGGUAUCUAACGAAUAAGCACCGGCUAACUCCGUGCCAGCAGCCGCGGUAAUACGGAGGGUGCAAGCGUUACUCGGAAUCACUGGGCGUAAAGAGGGCGUAGGCGGGAUAGCAAGUCAGAUGUGAAAUCCUAUGGCUUAACCAUAGAACUGAAUUUGAAAAUGUUAUUCUAGAGUAUGUGAGAGGUAGGUGGAAUUCUUGGUGUAGGGGUAAAAUCCGUAGAGAUCAAGAGGAAUACUCAUUGCGAAGGCGACCUGCUAGAACAUAACUGACGCUGAUGCGCGAAAGCGUGGGGAGCAAACAGGAUUAGAUACCCUAGUAGUC